This 425-nucleotide ribosomal RNA is filed under the name uncultured bacterium. RNAcentral's name for it is "partial 16S ribosomal RNA". It matches the Rfam family "Bacterial small subunit ribosomal RNA", at positions 354 to 796 of the family's 1533-position model. The record is from RNAcentral.
GUUAGGAAUAUUGGACAAUGGGCGCAAGCCUGAUCCAGCCAUGCCGCGUGAGUGAUGAAGGCCUUCGGGUUGUAAAGCUCUUUAGCCGAUGAUUAUAAUGACUGUAGUCGGACAAUAAGCCCCGGCUAACUUCGUGCCAGCAGCCGCGGUAAUACGAAGGGGGCGAGCGUUAUUCGGAAUCACUGGGCGUAAAGCGUGAGUAGGCGGCUUUGCACGUUGGGAGUGAACGCCCAGGGCGCAACCCUUGAAGUGCUCUCAAAACUGCAAGGCUCAAAUGCGGGAGAGGAUAGCAGAAUUGUGAGUGUAACUGUGAAAUGCGUAGAUAUUGACAGGAACACCAGUAGAGUAAGCGGCUAUCUGAAACGAUAUUGACGCUGAGGCACGAAAGCGGGGGGAUCAAACAGGAUUAGAAACCCGUGUAGUCC